UGGAAUAUAAAAUCAUAUAAAUACAAUAUAUGUCCAUAUCAGAAGGCAUAGGAUCUGGAUUUCUUAGGGCAAGCAAUCCAUCAUUCUGUUAUUUUUUAGGUCUUUACCCUUCGUUAAAAUAUAAUCAAAGGAGAAUAUGUCUGUUGACAAAGGCCACUCUCCCCCGACAACAACUUCACCGCCAUUAGCCGCGGUCCCAAUCCAAUCACAGCCUCCUUCUUCUUCGGUUCAGCUAACGGCGACAGAAGCUACUGCAAGCUAUGAAGAUGUGGUGUCUGAUGAGAAUCUUUUCUUGGCGACGCUUGAGGCGCUGCACAGAUCUCUUGGUACCAAGUUUAUGGUGCCCAGGGUUGGAGGAAGACCUCUCAAUCUACACCGCCUCUUUGUUGAAGUUACUUCCCAUGGUGGACUUCAAAGGGUUAUUAAAGAUCGAAUAUGGAAAGAUGUAAUUUCUGCCUUCAACUUUCCAUCAACAAUUACAAAUGCAUCAUUUGUUUUGAGAAAGUACUACAUCUCUCUGCUUCAACAUUAUGAAGAAGUAUACUUCUUCCGCAAUAAAGUUGUAAUAGACCCAAUAACUGGUACAAAUCAUGGUACUCCUUCAGUAUCAAAACCAAAUCAGGUGGGAACUACUGGCACACAUGGUACCAGUGGAAAACAUUUAACAGAUCCUUUAUCUGGUGAGGUUCAAAUCGACCAAGAACCAUUAAAGCAACAAAAUUCGACAAAGAUAGCACAAUUAAAGAAUUCAACAGGACUUCAUUUGCCAGGAUAUCCACCACUAGAAAUAGGUUCUUGGUUGAGAGGGGAAAUUACAGGAAAGUUUGAGAAUGGAUAUCUAGUGACUGCCAGCUAUGGUUCUGAAAAAUUCACUGGCGUUCUGUAUCAUACUCAUUGUGAUGCUUCUCAGAGUCAGACCUUAUCGUCUUCGUCUUCUGGUCAGCGGAGCAGGAAAAGGCCUUCCCAAGCAACGGAAGACCCUUUUCUUUCUAAAUCAAAUAGUUCCAAUCUACAUCUUGAUCAUGGUGUAAAAGUCAAUCCUUCUUUGUCCACUGAAGAAAAGAAAAUAAGCAAGCAGCUGGGAGAUUUGUGGAAUCGACUCACUCAACCAAGCAAUGAGGUUUUAAAUAUUUGAACAAGAAGAACAAAAGAAGAUCAAAUGUGUAUAGAAGACGAGAACAAUAUUCAGGAAGGACAACCAGGAGACCGAGAGCGAGGGUUAGUAGGACAUUUAUGGGUUGCGAAACCUUGAAGAAGAAACCCAACUUGUCUGGUGAUAAUUUUUUUCAAAAAUUGGAGCAGUUUUAGAUCUUCGACACUCCGCCACAGAACCCUUGUCCAAACUCUGCCGAGUCCAGAAGAGCCUUCAGAGUAUUUGAUUCCACAGAAUUUACAUUACUGCGAUUUUUGUUAUUUACUCCGGACUGGAAAGAAUUGUUGUUACAACUAAUGGGGACUAUUCUGGUUGUUCUGCUUUUACUUUGGUAAUGCAAAAAAUGAAAUUACUGUUGUUUUAACUAAUAGCCGCAAUACAUCACUUCAUUAACAACAAUACAAUA
Phalaenopsis equestris is the source of this 1559-nucleotide RNA transcript. It is a transcript of the gene named high mobility group B protein 15-like, with no coding region annotated. The record is from RefSeq and is a predicted model, not a curated record. The transcript has 8 exons. Lineage: Eukaryota; Viridiplantae; Streptophyta; Magnoliopsida; Asparagales; Orchidaceae.